CGGUCACAUAUCCAAAAAAAGUAUUUAAGGUUAAGUGUGUUUGAAAUUGAAUACUAGAAGAAUGAAUGAUCUACAGAUAAGUGACUCACGAUAUUGUACAAGUGAAGCCAAAAUAUCGAAAGAUCAGUGUCAUUCUCUUUUUUUCAUAUGGAUCAGACUGGGUUGGAGCAACGGAAAGAUUUAAUCUCGACUACUACUUGAUCUAAUAAAAUGGGUAUUAACCAAAAAAAAAAAAAACUACACCUGACUUACAAGACUAUAAUCUCUGCUAGCAAGUUGAUUUUUCAAAUAGCGAUGUAUCAUACGUGGAGUGGAGAAAAAAGUGAAAGACAACAAACCAAACUCGCUUCUGUUUCUUGUUUAUAUAGUCCAUAAGUAAAUUCACAAUCGGCUCUUGUGCCUAUAGCACGAUCUAAUUAAUGAAAAUGGAGAAGGCGUCGCUCGAUAAUCACGUUCGGAUUAUUUUUUCGAGCUUUUGAUUUAUGAUUGGAUUUUUUUUAAAAAAAUUUAUGAUUGGAUUUCGAAUUCGGUUUUCUACGAUGAAUUUGAUUUAAUUUGUUCUUCUCUGUUAUAAAGGAUGAAACUGUACCUGUAUGUCAAUAAUUUUUAAUGCUUAAUAAUAUUCACAUUUCAAAAAAGAAU
RNAcentral lists this long non-coding RNA (642 nucleotides) under Brassica napus (rape). RNAcentral describes it as "long non-coding RNA (BNAP_LNC004178)". Lineage: Eukaryota; Viridiplantae; Streptophyta; Magnoliopsida; Brassicales; Brassicaceae. The record is from RNAcentral.